UGAACGCUGGCGGCGUGCUUAACACAUGCAAGUCGAACGAGAACGGGUCUAGCUUGCUAGACUGUCAGCUAAGUGGCGCACGGGUGAGUAAUAUAUAGGUAACCUACCCCGAAGAGCGGGAUAACAGUUGGAAACGACUGCUAAUACUGCAUACUCCUUUAGAGCUCAAGUUUUAAAGGGAAAUGAAUUUCGCUUCGGGAUGGGCCUUUAUCGCAUCAGCUAGUUGGUAGGGUAAAGGCCUACCAAGGCGACGAUCGGUAGCUGGUCUGAGAGGAUGGCCAGCCACACUGGGACUGAGACACGGCCCAGACUCCUACGGGAGGCAGCAGUGGGGAAUAUUGGACAAUGGGCGCAAGCCUGAUCCAGCAAUGCCGCGUGUGUGAAGAAGGC
Molecule: ribosomal RNA, 390 nt
Filed under: uncultured bacterium
Lineage: Bacteria
Description: bacterial SSU rRNA
Rfam family: Bacterial small subunit ribosomal RNA
Source: RNAcentral